GCGUGCUCGUCGUCAACGCGUAGUCUGAGCCCGUUCUGGAGCCAGGAACCCGGUGCGAGUCCGGGGCGGUUCCGCCACUGUGAAGCCCGAGAGGGCCAAGCCAGACACUGACGCCAGGACAAUCCCGCAC
RNAcentral lists this non-coding RNA (130 nucleotides) under Nocardioides sp. Lineage: Bacteria; Bacillati; Actinomycetota; Actinomycetes; Propionibacteriales; Nocardioidaceae. The record is from RNAcentral. RNAcentral also lists the same sequence under 1 other name.